ACGGAAGGCAGCAGUGAGGAAUAUUGGUCAAUGGGCGGAAGCCUGAACCAGCCAAGUCGCGUGAAGGAUGAAGGUAUUAUGUAUUGUAAACUUCUUUAGACGUAGAGAAAUAAGGUGCUCGUGAGCACUGAUGCUAGUAUACGUAGAAUAAGGAUCGGCUAACUCCGUGCCAGCAGCCGCGGUAAUACGGAGGAUCCGAGCGUUAUCCGGAUUUAUUGGGUUUAAAGGGAGCGUAGGCGGGCCUUUAAGUCAGUGGUCAAAGCGUGUGGCUCAACCAUACCACGCCGUUGAUACUGGAGGCCUUGAGUGCACAUAAGGAUGGUGGAAUUCAUGGUGUAGCGGUGAAAUGCUUAGAUAUCAUGAAGAACUCCGAUUGCGAAGGCAGCUGUCCGGGGUGUAACUGACGCUAAUGCUCGAAAGUGCGGGUAUCAAACAGGAUUAGAUACCCUGGUA
RNAcentral lists this ribosomal RNA (453 nucleotides) under uncultured Bacteroides sp. Its description in RNAcentral is "partial 16S ribosomal RNA". It matches the Rfam family "Bacterial small subunit ribosomal RNA", at positions 341 to 792 of the family's 1533-position model. The record is from RNAcentral. Lineage: Bacteria; Pseudomonadati; Bacteroidota; Bacteroidia; Bacteroidales; Bacteroidaceae.